AUUUGAAUUCUAAUGACCAGGCACUGAGAUGAUAUUAUCAUUUAUGGACGACAAGACGUGGGGUGUCCUUCCAUUCCUCAUCACACAUUUCAUCAAAGCUAUCAAGACAUGCAUUUCCAGUCUGUUCGAAGAGGUCAAAUGUAUGUGAUGUAAGAAGCCAGAGCUCUCACCAAUCUGGUGUUGCCAAACGAGUUGACAGGCAGAGGGAGGAAGAGCGGUAGAUGGUAACGCUGUUCUACGUGAAUGCUUAUAUUAUUAUGUCACAAUAAAGUUUCUUGUUUGUCGCUCCUGGUGUUCAUCUGCAGAGAAAUGGGGUGGGAAAUUCCUAGCUACUUGUAAAUGCUACGAGGCACACUAUGCAGCACAGAGGGUUUAUUGUAUGUAUAUGCUCAUAUUAAUUAAUUAAGAGUCUUUCUGAGACACCUAAUGCUAGGCCAUCAAUUUCUAUGGCUGCUGGAUCGGUGAGAUCUCUCUCUCUCUCUCCCUCUCCCUCUCCCUCUCUCUCUCUCAAUUUCGAGGCAUCAAUGAAUGGAAGAACGUGCUCAUCUUCUGAAGAGAUUCCCUGGUCUCCAAUCUCUUUACCUUUCUAUCAUGCGCUUCUCUUUCAAUUCAUACAGUGGAUUUUGGGUUUUUUUUUUAUUAUUUUAUUUGAAUAUUCCUUUUCUCCUUUCCCUUUUUUUUAUGUUGUUACUUGAAGAGGAGAUAUAAGAAUGAUGAAUUAUUUGGAAUUGAGUGCGAUGAAGUUAUGUGAUUAAAAUUAUCUUGAUCAAUUAUUUAAACUGAAAUUAAUUUCUUUUGCAGUUCAUCAUAUUCGAUUUCAUUAUGUUGAACUAGUUAAACAUGUAAGCGAAGUCUAAGAACAUUUACAUUUUAAUUGCUAGCAAUCCUCAAUGUAUCGAGCUCUCUAUUUAUUCCUAAACUAAUAUAUUUCUAUGAACUUUUUCUCGCAGAUUUUUUUACUCAAAUCUAAUAAAAUUAUACAAGUAACGAACCUAACCAUCACUCCAAUGGUUUGGUUUUUCUUGAAGGUUAUGAAUAUCCUUCACAUUGAGUUUCUAAUCUCCCUUCACAACUACGUAAUCUGGUGUUUUUGCAUUGGACUUCUUCUGGGAUCUGCGGCGAAUGAAUGGUUAAGAAAAAAAACCCUAAAAACUUCAAAUUAAUUAACAAAGAUUAAAAUUAAUACGCAGCCAUGGAAGGGGCGAGGUGACGCUCGGCAAAUAUUCCUGAACCUCCUUAUCUCCUUAUCGUCAAUCAAAAGUUCCUCAGAAGAAAUCUAUCCAUCUCAGUGUAUAUUGGUGGUACAGUGUGGUGGCAUGUGAGCAACUUGAGUCCCAUCAUGUUAUCUGGAUGGUAGUAUGCUUUUCAUGAAAAUUAUCUGCUGCCAUUAGCAAUUUUGUCAGUUCCAUCCCUACAUCUCUGAUUUACAACCCAGUUUUCUGUUUCCAAUGCCUCCUCUCUUCUUUUCCCGCCAUGAUCUGAGCCACAGAGGGGUCAUCGACAGGUGUCAUUAUUACCAGUUUGAACAAGGUUAACAUUGUAUGCUGUAAUUUUCUUUUUUUUGUUUUUGAACAUCCUUGUCUGAAAUAGAUCAUGCCAGUCGUGAGUGUCAUCCACUUCUCUCUUUGCCAAUAUUAGUCUUUAUUUUGUAAUGAUUUGUCUCAAGCGCAGGCUCCCUGCAAAUCUCAUGCAUCAUGCAGGCAUGGCUGAUCAAAAUUUAAUUACAGCUUAAGUCAGAAAUUGAAGAUCAUUAAACUUAGAUGAUGACUAAGGACAACUAAUGAAUUAUACCUCAGCCGACAUUCAUCUACUCCUCUUCCAAGAGAUUUGAGAUUCAUGAUCUACCGUUUCAAGAGAUUUAAUUAAGUUUCUUUUCAUAAAAAAAAAAAAACCCCGAAUAGCACAUACUAGUUUCUUCUCUCGCAUGAUGCCACAUAAUCAUUCUCAAAAACCUAUUUUUACUUAAUUUUAUAACUAUUAAAACUAUUACUUUG
RNAcentral lists this long non-coding RNA (1994 nucleotides) under Populus tremula. RNAcentral describes it as "long non-coding RNA (PTRE_LNC002390)". Lineage: Eukaryota; Viridiplantae; Streptophyta; Magnoliopsida; Malpighiales; Salicaceae. The record is from RNAcentral.